This 494-nucleotide ribosomal RNA is filed under the name uncultured bacterium. RNAcentral's name for it is "bacterial SSU rRNA". It matches the Rfam family "Bacterial small subunit ribosomal RNA", at positions 29 to 518 of the family's 1533-position model. The record is from RNAcentral.
AUGAACGCUAGCGACAGGCCUAACACAUGCAAGUCGAGGGCGAGCACAAGGAGCAAUCUGAGGUGGCGACCGGCGCACGGGUGAGUAACACGUAUGCAACCUGCCUGUAAGCGGGGAAUAACCCGUUGAAAGACGGACUAAUACCGCAUAAUACUAAAUUACUGCAUGGUAAUUUAUUUAAACAUUUAUGGCUUACAGAUGGGCAUGCGCAUGAUUAGCUAGUUGGAGAGGUAACGGCUCCCCAAGGCAACGAUCAUUAGGGGUUCUGAGAGGAAGGUCCCCACACUGGUACUGAGACACGGACCAGACUCCUACGGGAGGCAGCAGUGAGGAAUAUUGGUCAAUGGACGAGAGUCUGAACCAGCCAAGUCGCGUGCAGGAAGAAUGUCCUAAUGGAUUGUAAACUGCUUUUGCAGGGGAAUAAAGUGCAUCACGUGUGAUGUUUUGUAUGUACUCUGCGAAUAAGGAUCGGCUAACUCCGUGCCAGCAGCGGC